AUUGAACGCUGGCGGAAUGCUUUACACAUGCAAGUCGAACGGCAGCACGGACUUCGGUCUGGUGGCGAGUGGCGAACGGGUGAGUAAUACAUCGGAACGUGCCCAGUCGUGGGGGAUAACGUAGCGAAAGCUACGCUAAUACCGCAUACGAUCUAAGGAUGAAAGCGGGGGAUCGCAAGACCUCGCGCGAUUGGAGCAGCCGAUGGCAGAUUAGGUAGUUGGUAGGGUAAAGGCCUACCAAGCCGACGAUCUGUAGCUGGUCUGAGAGGAUGAUCAGCCACACUGGGACUGAGACACGGCCCAGACUCCUACGGGAGGCAGCAGUGGGGAAUUUUGGACAAUGGGCGCAAGCCUGAUCCAGCCAUUCCGCGUGCAGGAUGAAGGCCUUCGGGUUGUAAACUGCUUUUGUACAGAACGAAAAGGCUCUGGUUAAUACCCGGGGCUCAUGACGGUACUGUAAGAAUAAGCACCGGCUAACUACGUGCCAGCCGCCGCAUAA
RNAcentral lists this ribosomal RNA (499 nucleotides) under uncultured bacterium. Its description in RNAcentral is "partial 16S ribosomal RNA". It matches the Rfam family "Bacterial small subunit ribosomal RNA", at positions 30 to 522 of the family's 1533-position model. The record is from RNAcentral.